UACGUAGGGGGCAAGCGUUGUCCGGAAUCAUUGGGCGUAAAGAGCGUGUAGGCGGCCAGAAAAGUCCGCUGUGAAAACUCGAGGCUCAACUUCGGGCUGUCGGUGGAAACUUUCUGGCUAGAGUCCGGAAGAGGAGAAUGGAAUUCCUGGUGUAGCGGUGAAAUGCGCAGAUAUCAGGAAGAACACCCGUGGCGAAGGCGGUUCUCUGGGACGGUACUGACGCUGAGACGCGAAAGCGUGGGGAGCGAACAGG
RNAcentral lists this ribosomal RNA (253 nucleotides) under uncultured bacterium. RNAcentral describes it as "partial 16S ribosomal RNA". It matches the Rfam family "Bacterial small subunit ribosomal RNA", at positions 524 to 776 of the family's 1533-position model. The record is from RNAcentral.